CAGGGCUUUCAAUAGAAGGCGGUAGGCGGCGAUUUUCGUCGUCUACUUGAAGGAAAUCCGCCGUCUACUUUGCUCAAAAUUGUAAAAUUAAAAAAGUAAUAAAAAUGACUGAAGGGGAAAUUUACGCUGUUGACACAACCAGGGGAUUUCCGAUAAAGUGUGGUUGAUAUUUAUAACCUUUCCCUAUCUACGUGAAGUGACCCGAGUAGUCACGAACGCCUAGGCUGGGAUCGCUAUCAACAAGGAGAGUAAGGCGAAAACUACUGAAAGUAGAAACCAGCAGAAGGCACCCGAACACCGUCCGUAAACAGACUCCUGAUUGGUCGAUUUACAACCGGUUUUCUUAAACGACCUACGAUUGGUGUAAUUAAUAGGCGUGUACGAAAAUGAGUAAACGAAAACAAAGUGACAUCAGUCAAUGGAUUAGAAAAAUACAAAAAC
Molecule: long non-coding RNA, 441 nt
Filed under: Mytilus galloprovincialis (Mediterranean mussel)
Lineage: Eukaryota; Metazoa; Mollusca; Bivalvia; Mytilida; Mytilidae
Source: RNAcentral